This 595-nucleotide unclassified non-coding RNA is filed under the name Yarrowia lipolytica. The record is from RNAcentral. Lineage: Eukaryota; Fungi; Ascomycota; Dipodascomycetes; Dipodascales.
UCUUUGUACUCUUCUCUUUGAGACAGGCCAAAUCUGGACCCCAAGGAAGGCAACACUUGUCAACACUUGUGCUGAAGCCGACAUUGUCACCAUGAUAAUCGAUUUCUUCUAGCAUUGAAGGAGCUAGCUGAUGGGGCAGAUCACCACAGACAGCAUAAACAGCGUUGGCAACCAUAACCUGUGACUCUUCGUUGUGGAAGCGACUGGAGCUGUGAAACCACACCAUGGACUCUUGAUAACUUCACUGUGUGCCAGGGUGUCCUUGAUACACCAUCAGGCAUUUUUGUGGCUAUCCACGUUGUCUGGUGUGUUCAUCACAUGUUGUGAUGUCAUUUUUGUCAUGACUCAGUGAUCCAUCGAAACAACCAUCGCCUUGGGUUUUUCAGUCAACAACAGUGGGUGGGUUCGUUGUGCACUAAAGGAAAUGACAACCAGGCUCAAUGCCUAGAACGAGGCCGACAGGGUGUUUCACGCUUCGAAGUUCUUAUAGCUGCUAUUGCACCGCUCGUCAGGAUAUCACGACUUUCAUUUGUCAGACUGCAAAGACAUGUUGUCUGGAUUAGCCGGACAGAAACGUCUGAGGUACUUGUAAGAU